This 910-nucleotide ribosomal RNA is filed under the name Aphanoascus mephitalis. RNAcentral describes it as "LSU rRNA". It matches the Rfam family "Eukaryotic large subunit ribosomal RNA", at positions 38 to 961 of the family's 3401-position model. The record is from RNAcentral. Lineage: Eukaryota; Fungi; Ascomycota; Eurotiomycetes; Onygenales; Onygenaceae.
GCAUAUCAAUAAGCGGAGGAAAAGAAACCAACAGGGAUUGCCUCAGUAACGGCGAGUGAAGCGGCAAAAGCUCAAAUUUGAAAUCUGGCUCCGUUAGGUGCCCGAGUUGUAAUUUGGAGAGGAUACUUCGGGUGUGGCUACGGCGUAAGUCCCUUGGAACAGGGCGUCAUAGAGGGUGAGAAUCCCGUCUUAAGUCGAUAGACCACGCCCAUGCGAAGUUCCUUCAACGAGUCGAGUUGUUUGGGAAUGCAGCUCUAAGUGGGUGGUAAAUUUCAUCUAAAGCUAAAUAUUGGCCGGAGACCGAUAGCGAACAAGUAGAGUGAUCGAAAGGUUAAAAGCACCUUGAAAAGGGAGUUAAAUAGCACGUGAAAUUGUUGAAAGGGAAGCGCUUGCAACCAGACUCGGUCAUAGGGGCUCAACGUGGCAUUUGUAUGCCCGUGUACUCCCCUGUGUUCGGGCCAGCAUCAGUUCUGGCGGUUGGUUAAAGGCCCUUGGAAUGUAUCAUCCUCCGGGAUGCCUUAUAGCCAAGGGUGUAAUGCAGCCAGCCGGGACUGAGGAACGCGCUUCGGCACGGAUGCUGGCGUAAUGGUUGUAAGCGGCCCGUCUUGAAACACGGACCAAGGAGUCUAACAUCCACGCGAGUGUUCGGGUGUUAAACCCGUGCGCGCAGUGAAAGCGAACGGAGGUGGGAGCCCUUUAGGGUGCACCAUCGACCGAUCCUGAAGUCUUCGGAUGGAUUUGAGUAAGAGCGUGGCUGUUGGGACCCGAAAGAUGGUGAACUAUGCCUGAAUAGGGUGAAGCCAGAGGAAACUCUGGUGGAGGCUCGCAGCGGUUCUGACGUGCAAAUCGAUCGUCAAAUUUGGGUAUAGGGGCGAAAGACUAAUCGAACCAUCUGGUAGCUGGGUCUGCA